Molecule: ribosomal RNA, 795 nt
Filed under: Enterococcus sp. INBio2557L
Lineage: Bacteria; Bacillati; Bacillota; Bacilli; Lactobacillales; Enterococcaceae
Description: bacterial SSU rRNA
Rfam family: Bacterial small subunit ribosomal RNA
Source: RNAcentral
GCUCAGGACGAACGCUGGCGGCGUGCCUAAUACAUGCAAGUCGAACGCUUUUUCUUUCACCGGAGCUUGCUCCACGAAAGAAAAAGAGUGGCGAACGGGUGAGUAACACGUGGGUAACCUGCCCAUCAGAAGGGGAUAACACUUGGAAACAGGUGCUAAUACCGUAUAACACUAUUUUCCGCAUGGAAGAAAGUUGAAAGGCGCUUUUGCGUCACUGAUGGAUGGACCCGCGGUGCAUUAGCUAGUUGGUGAGGUAACGGCUCACCAAGGCAACGAUGCAUAGCCGACCUGAGAGGGUGAUCGGCCACACUGGGACUGAGACACGGCCCAGACUCCUACGGGAGGCAGCAGUAGGGAAUCUUCGGCAAUGGACGAAAGUCUGACCGAGCAACGCCGCGUGAGUGAAGAAGGUUUUCGGAUCGUAAAACUCUGUUGUUAGAGAAGAACAAGGAUGAGAGUAAAAUGUUCAUCCCUUGACGGUAUCUAACCAGAAAGCCACGGCUAACUACGUGCCAGCAGCCGCGGUAAUACGUAGGUGGCAAGCGUUGUCCGGAUUUAUUGGGCGUAAAGCGAGCGCAGGCGGUUUCUUAAGUCUGAUGUGAAAGCCCCCGGCUCAACCGGGGAGGGUCAUUGGAAACUGGGAGACUUGAGUGCAGAAGAGGAGAGUGGAAUUCCAUGUGUAGCGGUGAAAUGCGUAGAUAUAUGGAGGAACACCCAGUGGCGAAGGCGGCUCUCUGGUCUGUAACUGACGCUGAGGCUCGAAAGCGUGGGGAGCGAACAGGAUUAGAUACCCUG